Molecule: ribosomal RNA, 432 nt
Filed under: uncultured bacterium
Lineage: Bacteria
Description: partial 16S ribosomal RNA
Rfam family: Bacterial small subunit ribosomal RNA
Source: RNAcentral
AACGAACGCUGGCGGCAGGCCUAACACAUGCAAGUCGAGCGAGGACUUCGGUUCUAGCGGCGGACGGGUGAGUAACGCGUGGGAAUGUGCCCUUCUCUACGGAAUAGCCCUGGGAAACUGGGAGUAAUACCGUAUACGCCCUUUUGGGGAAAGAUUUAUCGGAGAAGGAUCAGCCCGCGUUGGAUUAGGUAGUUGGUGGGGUAAUGGCCUACCAAGCCGACGAUCCAUAGCUGGUUUGAGAGGAUGAUCAGCCACACUGGGACUGAGACACGGCCCAGACCCCUACGGAAGGAAGCAGGGGGGAACCUAGAACAUGGGGGGAAACCCGAAUCUACCCAGGCCGGGUAAGUAUGGAAGGCCUUAGGGUUGUAAGGCUCUUUAACCGGGAAAGUUAAGACCGGAACCAGAAAAAGAACCCCGGCUAACUCCGUG